UUACGGUCACAUCACGUCGAAAGACCGGUUCUCGUACGAUCUCUGAAGUUAAGCAACGUCGAACCUGGUCAGUACCUAUAUGGGUAAUCGUUUAGAAAUACCGGGUGCUCC
Acanthosepion pharaonis is the source of this 111-nucleotide non-coding RNA. The record is from the annotation of a GenBank genome assembly. NCBI's taxonomy places the organism in Eukaryota, Metazoa, Mollusca, Cephalopoda, Sepiida, Sepiidae.